RNAcentral lists this unclassified non-coding RNA (375 nucleotides) under Hevea brasiliensis (rubber tree). Lineage: Eukaryota; Viridiplantae; Streptophyta; Magnoliopsida; Malpighiales; Euphorbiaceae. The record is from RNAcentral.
CCAACAAAUCGUAGAAACUCUGGGUGUUGACAUAAACGUUAUCAACAGCGGUGGCGGACGAGGCCCUAAUUGGGCUGGUUCUGUUGGAUUUGGAAUGAGUUCUGAGGGAAAAGCUCGAUUUUUGGAAAUGGGUAUUGAAUCCAAGAUGAGAAGAUGGCUUAAGAAAGGGUAUUUGGGUUGAGAGUUUGGGUUUUGAGAUUGUGUGGAAGCUCGCUUGGCUUCCAGUGGAAACCAUUCCGCUGCUCAUAUUUCUCUCUGUUUUUGUGAUGCUCUGCAACUUGUUUUCAAGGAAUGAAUUGCAUUGAGAAGAUGAAGCUUCGAAGUCACAUAUUUAAAGGAAAGGAUCGAGGGGGAACGAGGGGAGCCUCGGGGGAG